This 1084-nucleotide long non-coding RNA is filed under the name Gossypium barbadense (sea-island cotton). RNAcentral's name for it is "long non-coding RNA (GBAR_LNC010718)". Lineage: Eukaryota; Viridiplantae; Streptophyta; Magnoliopsida; Malvales; Malvaceae. The record is from RNAcentral.
AAAGAGAAUUUUCAAAAUUUCUCUCAAAAACUCUCUCCCUCACAGCCCCUUUUGCAAUUUCAGGCCUAACUCCGGCCAUCGGCGCCGUCGUGAACCACUGGUCACCGGCGCCGAAAACCGUCGCCUCCGGUGGCUGAAAAUCACCAAAAUUUCAAUAAGGGUCCCUUUUGCGGCGUAGAACUCCGAUUCGGAGUCAAAACCACGAAACCGACCCCGAUGUUUCAGAAAGAUGAGAAAACCCUUGGUUUUUGAAGCUCUGCCGUGGCCCUGGCCGAAUCCCAAGGGAUUCGACGGCCUUUGACUCGGGAAAGGCAACGACGACCAAGGCUAAAACCAAUCGAAAAGUAACCUCUUUUAUCUCUUUCUUAUUUCGAAAAAUAUAAAAAAAAUAAAAAAAAUGAAACGAAUCAAAAAAAUCACUUUCUUGCUUUGUAUCUUUUGAUUAAUUUUCGUGUUUUUUUUAUUAAUAUUCUCUGUCCCCAUUUUACAAUCUGUUUUGUGUGUCUUUAUAGCCAAAUACAUGUUACUAUUAUAUCACUAUUCGGCCUUGCUUCUGCUGUUGCAUUUUCGCUGUGUUUGCUUUUUUGGGGGGUUACUUUGCAGGUCUGCUAGGAGUCAACGGGGGCAGGUUUCCGUUUUGGUGCAAGGAGCGGGUGGGAGCCGACCCUCGAGCGGAGUGCGCGCCGGGGAUGCACAUGGAGGCUGUGGCACCUAGGGUUUCCUCUUCCUCUUUUGCUAAAAUUUUUUUAGAUUUUAGGCUACUUGGGCUUAAGGUUUUGUUUUAAUUUGGUUUGGGGUGGGUUUAAUCCAUUUGGGCUGUGUAUUUUAGCCCGGGCCAAAAUUGGGUUGUACAUUUCAUAUUUUGGGAAUUCGAGAAAUUGUACCCUAACUUACGGGGUUUCAAUUUUCUUUUUAAACCUAAAUAGCCAAAUAUCCUUCUAAAUUUCAAAAUUCAUGAAAUUUCAAUAAUUUAAAGGCAAGCUUAUUCUCGAGGGUUCAAAGUGUCACGUUCUAACUUACGGGAUGUGACAUUUUAUUACCUCGAGACGAGAGAGUCCUUAAUAUUCUUUUCGAUUUAUUCGAG